This is a non-coding RNA of Bacteroides oleiciplenus YIT 12058, 77 nucleotides long. NCBI's taxonomy places the organism in Bacteria, Pseudomonadati, Bacteroidota, Bacteroidia, Bacteroidales, Bacteroidaceae. The record is from Rfam.
UUGAGCCGUAUGAGGGGAAACUCUCACGUACGGUUCUUAGGGGAGAAGGGGGCAGUAAUGCCCUUGACUUACCCGAU